UGAAAUUAUUGCUUUGGUGUACUCUGUUAUUUCAAACAAAGCUACAAGCGGCAUUUCAAGCAAAAACUUCAAAUUAUCUACAACACGCAGUGUUCAACAGGACCAGGAUUCAAUCAAAGCCGCUGCAAUGACAGGAUCCUGUACAGAGAAUAAAAAGAAAACAAGACGCUUGAUAGAUAAUUCAUCUGGGUUCCUUCAAAUAGCCUCCAUCAUACAGUUUGGAGGAACACCUCAUACCUGAGAUAUAUAUAAUGUCAAAUCCUAGUAUUCUAAUAUAGCUAUUAUUCUGACUUGCAUCAAGCAACUCAGUAGUUGCUGCUUGGAGGGUUAAAAUUUAAGCUACCAUAACAGAACAGUUCAAUAUAAAGUUGCUUAGUCUGUUUCUGCCACACUCAAGAGGCCUCCAUUGCAAUUCCUCAGCUUCAGCAUCUGGGCAGCAGGUGUACAUAACCAUGCCAUCUCCUGAAUAAGAGACCAUGGAUGUUGAUGAACCGAUUAAAAGUAGCUCGUUGCCCAGAGACUUGAAGGCUACACCCCAUCCUCUUGAAGAAUCAGCUCGUACUGGGACUGGCCCGAACUUCCUCCAUGUUUUGGUCCUUUUUGAAUACACUUUCAGCUCAUUUGAUGAAGUCUCCAGCGAGUAAAGCUCAUUGUUCACAACAGCAACAAGAGGUGGAGAUUGGAAAGUAGCAACAGGAGUAUCCUCCAACAUGUCUGGGACGAGUUCCCAUUUCUUUUUAUCCUCAUCAUAGGCUUCUCCACAAGUAAGACAUUUUCCCUCCUCAUUUCGCCCACCGAUCACAUAAAACUUGUUAUCCAUGUAAAAACCUGAGCAGAGCCUCCUUUUCCUUUGCAUCCUUGGAAGGGUUUCCCAUGUCUUAGUAUCAGAAUUGUAUUUCUCAGCAGACUUUAGAACUGCACCAGCCUCUGUUACCCCACCAGCUACAAAAGCAAAGGGGCCACAGGAAGCCGAAGCAAACAGACACCUAGGUGUGAUCAUUGAAGGACCCUUACUCCAGCUAUUUGUUUCCAAUUCAUAUCUCCAAACAACAACACCAUCUAUCUCCCUGCCUGAAAUGAUCAGAUGAGUCCCUGCACAAACUGAUUCUUUGUCUCCUGAAGAAAAACAAGAGUCUGCUGGCAAGUCUGGAAGCUUACGACGAGAACUAAAUUGUCGAGCAAAUCCCCACCAACCACUGUCUCCAGUUGUAAAAAUAAAAACAGAUGAUUCUUUGACCCCAAGUUCCCUCCUAAUCUUAAAGAGUUCACCAGUCUUCGUAAGAGCAAAUAUUCGUUUGUUCACCAAUGGAAAUUUCCAGUACUCUGAUCUUGGAAUCCUUGCCAAAAUCUGAUUCUCUACCUCAUCACUGAGCUGGGGAACUUCGGAGUAAUCUGCAUCCUGAGGUUCUAAACUUGAGGAUCCAUCAACUCUGCCCUCGUUGGAAGAAAACGCAUACCUGCUUGGGCCUUCUAUUCUAUUGGUUUCACAAGUAGCAAUAGUUUGAGAAGUAUUGCAAGCAAUCCAUAAUCUAUUACCAGAAUCCUCCUGAAGCACCCCUUUCUUGCAAGGAUUAUUAUCAUUUCCAAUCGCACAGCCCCCUUGAUCUUCCUUUGUAUUAGUUUCGCAAGCGUCAAGCCUUUUUGAUGGGGGGCUAUUAUAAGUAAUCCAAACGUUAUUGUCAGGAUCCCGACCAAGCACUCCUUUCUUACGAGGAUUACAAUCAUUUCUGCAGACCUCACCCCCUUCAUCUUCACCCCCUAGCUCUUUUCCUUUGGACAUGGUUCAGAACCUUUCAAAAUCUUAAGUCUAUGGAUGGAAACCCAACAAAGCAAGGCUUGAAUGGAAGCCUGAAAUAGUGAAGAAACAAACCAUUACACGUAUAAACAGAAUAAAUCACAGAAAGAGAAGCAUACCAGGCAGGCAAGUCUUUAGUCCGUCAAGUCAAGAAGUAAAAGAAGGGACGGCUAUAGGAAGAGAAAUGAAAUCAUCAUCAAAACACAAGUCUCAAGAGGCUCAUUGAGUGAGAACAACCCAAGAAUUUGGAGUCAAGGAAGAGAGAGAAAAUAUAUAUGUAAAUAUAUAUUAAGGAGAGUACCCAUUAAGAGGCAGAGAAAGAUGGUGAAAGAGUUCAAUUUCAAAGCAACCCCUUUGCUGAGGAGGGGUUUUACGGAUUAAUUUAAUAUUAGGAUUAUAAUAUUCUCAAUUGAUUGAUAUUUAUUAGUAUUAAAUUGCUGAUGUUGCUUUUACUAUUAUCAUCACCGCAUCCAAUAACAAAACCCACAUCAAAACCAUUUUUAUUUUCAAGAAAAGGCAAUUCCUU
Molecule: unclassified non-coding RNA, 2321 nt
Filed under: Hevea brasiliensis (rubber tree)
Lineage: Eukaryota; Viridiplantae; Streptophyta; Magnoliopsida; Malpighiales; Euphorbiaceae
Source: RNAcentral